RNAcentral lists this long non-coding RNA (819 nucleotides) under Phoenix dactylifera (date palm). Its description in RNAcentral is "long non-coding RNA (PDAC_LNC017517)". Lineage: Eukaryota; Viridiplantae; Streptophyta; Magnoliopsida; Arecales; Arecaceae. The record is from RNAcentral.
UAAAUGAAGAAAAUAUCUCAUAAAUGCCAAUUUUUCUGAUAUAUUAAUGUGACUUUAUACUCAAUGAUCUCAUGGUGGAAUAUGCAAAUGAGUGUGAUUAUGGAAGUAGUCAAUACCAAAGAUCCAACAAUGUCAAGAGCUACACAUAUGUGAGCUCACAUUCAUCCAUGAAUUUACCAAGACUUCUAAAUGAAUUACCGUGACCAUAUUUUUCUAAAAAGAAAAGGUUCUUGAUUCUCUUAGUCAUCUAAGUAAAAAAAACAGCGUUUGUGUUCCUAGCCAUGCAAAUAAAUUUGGGAUUUUAAGUAGCUAGUGAAGCUUCUUUAAAUCAUAAAUCAAGUCAAAAUGUUAAAAUUUUUCACUUCCACCGAUCUCUGAUAUGUGGGACCUUGAGAAAACAUUCGCGUGCAAAAAAUGUUUGACGCACGGGUGCACCUUGUGUACUGAUGCACGUGUGACUGUGUGCGCGUGUGUGUGUGUGCGCGUGUGCGUGAGAGAGAGAGAGAGAGAGAGAAGGGGAGAAGGGGAGCGGGGGGAGGUGUUAUAGUACUAGCAGCCUUGGGAGGGGGGGAGGGGAGUGGUGAUGUUUUAGUUACUUACAGGCUGCCUCACGUUCCCUGAUCGACUGCCGAAGUACGGGGAGCUCAGAGCCUACAUGAAAGAAUGGGAUGGGUGAGUGCCUCUGAGACAGCAUUAAUCUCCCAAAGCACAUGACAAUACUAGACACCAAUAACUAAAAGAUGCUACAUAAAACAACACUGUUGGUCUGCACCACAGAGAGAGAGAGAGAGAGAGAGAGAGAGAGAGAGAGAGAGAGAG